Molecule: ribosomal RNA, 562 nt
Filed under: Conidiocarpus sp.
Lineage: Eukaryota; Fungi; Ascomycota; Dothideomycetes; Capnodiales; Capnodiaceae
Description: partial large subunit ribosomal RNA
Rfam family: Eukaryotic large subunit ribosomal RNA
Source: RNAcentral
UGCCCUAGUAACGGCGAGUGAAGCGGCAACAGCUCAGAUUUGAAAUCUGGCGCCUCUGGCGUCCGAGUUGUAAUCUGUAGAGGAUGCUUUUGGGUAGCCACCGGUCUAAGUCCCCUGGAACGGGGCGUCACAGAGGGUGAGAAUCCCGUAUGUGACCGGAAGGGCACCCUCCACAUAGCUCCUUCGACGAGUCGAGUUGUUUGGGAAUGCAGCUCUAAAUGGGAGGUAAAUUCCUUCUAAAGCUAAAUACCGGCCAGAGACCGAUAGCGCACAAGUAGAGUGAUCGAAAGAUGAAAAGCACUUUGGAAAGAGAGUUAAAAAGCACGUGAAAUUGUUGAAAGGGAAGCGCUUGCAACCAGACUUGUUGGCGGUGUUCCGCCGGUCUUCUGACCGGUCUACUCACCGUCUGCAGGCCAGCAUCAUCUGGGGCCGCCGGAUAAAAGCGAGGGGAAUGUGGCUCCCCCGGGAGUGUUAUAGCCCCUCGUGCAAUACGGCGAGCCUCGGGUGAGGUCCGCGCUUCGGCUAGGAUGCUGGCGUAAUGGUCGUAAGCGGCCCGUCUUGA